Molecule: ribosomal RNA, 409 nt
Filed under: bacterium enrichment culture clone ALO1_GLFRUDD03GK89L
Lineage: Bacteria
Also listed under: 2 other names
Description: bacterial SSU rRNA
Rfam family: Bacterial small subunit ribosomal RNA
Source: RNAcentral
GAGUUUGAUCCUGGCUCAGAUUGAACGCUGGCGGCAUGCCUUACACAUGCAAGUCGAACGGCAGCACGGGAGCUUGCUCCUGGUGGGCGAGUGGCGAACGGGUGAGUAAUGCAUCGGAACGUAUCCUGGAGUGGGGGAUAACGUAGCGAAAGUUACGCUAAUACCGCAUAUUCUGUGAGCAGGAAAGCGGGGGACCUUCGGGCCUCGCGCUCUUGGAGCGGCCGAUGUCGGAUUAGCUAGUUGGUGAGGUAAAGGCUCACCAAGGCGACGAUCCGUAGCAGGUCUGAGAGGAUGAUCUGCCACACUGGAACUGAGACACGGUCCAGACUCCUACGGGAGGCAGCAGUGGGGAAUUUUGGACAAUGGGGGCAACCCUGAUCCAGCCAUGCCGCGUGAGUGAAGAAGGCCU